CAACUAGGUGUACCCAUCUCCCCAAAGAAAACAGAAGGGCCAGACACUAUUAUCACUUUUCUGGGUAUCCAAUUAGACUCUGCCACAAUGCAAGCAAGCCUACCAUACGAUAAGAUAGAAAAUAUUCUCACUUACAUAAACAACUACCUACAUCUCAGCACUUGCAACCACAAAGAACUACAGUCCCUGCUGGGGUCACUAAAUUUUGCAAUGCGCAUCAUACCUCAAGGCCGCUCCUUUAUUUCACAACUAUUGCAUCUUUUCCCACUUUUUCUACAUGACACGCACAGGUUGUCCUUAGAUGCCCAAGCUACGGCAGAUCUAAACAUGUGGAAGAGGUUUUUAACCACUUUGAAUGGUAAAAGUAUGCUCCUCC
This is a non-coding RNA of Pelobates cultripes (western spadefoot toad), 376 nucleotides long. Lineage: Eukaryota; Metazoa; Chordata; Amphibia; Anura; Pelobatidae. The record is from the annotation of a GenBank genome assembly.